RNAcentral lists this ribosomal RNA (727 nucleotides) under uncultured Bacilli bacterium. Its description in RNAcentral is "bacterial SSU rRNA". It matches the Rfam family "Bacterial small subunit ribosomal RNA", at positions 30 to 740 of the family's 1533-position model. The record is from RNAcentral. Lineage: Bacteria; Bacillati; Bacillota; Bacilli.
UGAACGCUGGCGGCGUGCCUAAUACAUGCAAGUAGAACGCUGAAGCUUGGUGCUUGCACCGAGCGGAAGAGUUGCGAACGGGUGAGUAACGCGUAGGUAACCUGCCUCUUAGCGGGGGAUAACUAUUGGAAACGAUAGCUAAUACCGCAUAAAAGUCGGCAUUGCAUGAUGUUGACUUGAAAGGUGCAACUGCAUCACUAAGAGAUGGACCUGCGUUGUAUUAGCUAGUUGGUGAGGUAACGGCUCACCAAGGCGACGAUACAUAGCCGACCUGAGAGGGUGAUCGGCCACACUGGGACUGAGACACGGCCCAGACUCCUACGGGAGGCAGCAGUAGGGAAUCUUCGGCAAUGGACGGAAGUCUGACCGAGCAACGCCGCGUGAGUGAAGAAGGUUUUCGGAUCGUAAAGCUCUGUUGUAAGAGAAGAACGAGUGUGAGAGUGGAAAGUUCACACUGUGACGGUAACUUACCAGAAAGGGACGGCUAACUACGUGCCAGCAGCCGCGGUAAUACGUAGGUCCCGAGCGUUAUCCGGAUUUAUUGGGCGUAAAGCGAGCGCAGGCGGUUAGAUAAGUCUGAAGUUAAAGGCUGUGGCUUAACCAUAGUACGCUUUGGAAACUGUUUAACUUGAGUGCAGAAGGGGAGAGUGGAAUUCCAUGUGUAGCGGUGAAAUGCGUAGAUAUAUGGAGGAACACCGGUGGCGAAAGCGGCUCUCUGGUCUGUAAC